Long non-coding RNA from Piliocolobus tephrosceles (Ugandan red Colobus), 567 nucleotides. RefSeq lists it as uncharacterized. Lineage: Eukaryota; Metazoa; Chordata; Mammalia; Primates; Cercopithecidae. The record is from RefSeq and is a predicted model, not a curated record. The transcript is spliced from 3 exons.
GUCUGAUCUUCUAGUGACCCCGGAAGUCCUGAGUGAACACGCAAGGCACCUGCAGGACCCACUGGUGUCCACUGAUCUCUCAGAGCUGCUGGGGAUCAUGGACACUUUGUGACCAUCAAUAGUGCAAAAGCUCUGACCACCUUCUUGGCUCAGGCUCUUCUCUCUGGGGAAAACAGAUCAUGAAAGAUGGUACCAGCAAUAGCCUUGGAAAGCAGACCCUCAGAAAAGGGUUUUGAAACUGGAUUACUUAACAGUUAGACAUUAAUAAGAACACCCUCCUCCCCUGCUGGUGGUAAGAACCUCUGUUAUUCAAUAGCAUCACAAUUACUAAGACUUUCUCCUUCAGCUAUAACAUUUUGGUAUAGGCUAGUUUUUGUUAAGUGUGUUGGAAGCCUUGAAAAAAAGAAAAUGAAGUCUCAGAAGAGCCAAUCAUCAAGGCUAACAAACUGUGAAACCCAGAGGGCCUAUGUGGAAGAUUUGAAGGAGAAAGUUGUCUCCUUCAGCUACAGGGCAGAGUUGACUGAACACUGGGUUCGGAAUACAAUCAUAAGAAUGGCAGAGCUUAAA